This 75-nucleotide transfer RNA is filed under the name Candidatus Nomurabacteria bacterium. RNAcentral's name for it is "tRNA-Asp". It matches the Rfam family "tRNA". From Rfam's summary of the family: Transfer RNA (tRNA) molecules are approximately 80 nucleotides in length. Their secondary structure includes four short double-helical elements and three loops (D, anti-codon, and T loops). Further hydrogen bonds mediate the characteristic L-shaped molecular structure. tRNAs have two regions of fundamental functional importance: the anti-codon, which is responsible for specific mRNA codon recognition, and the 3' end, to which the tRNAs corresponding amino acid is attached (by aminoacyl-tRNA synthetases). tRNAs cope with the degeneracy of the genetic code in two manners: having more than one tRNA (with a specific anti-codon) for a particular amino acid; and 'wobble' base-pairing, i.e. permitting non-standard base-pairing at the 3rd anti-codon position. Lineage: Bacteria; Candidatus Nomuraibacteriota. The record is from RNAcentral.
GCGGCUGUAGUUCAACGGUAGAAUGCCGCCCUGUCACGGCGGAGGUCGUGGGGUCAGCACCCAUCAGCCGCGCAA